Equus caballus (horse) is the source of this 1695-nucleotide long non-coding RNA. The record is from Ensembl. NCBI's taxonomy places the organism in Eukaryota, Metazoa, Chordata, Mammalia, Perissodactyla, Equidae.
CAGCUGCCAUGCCACGAGGACACUCAAGCAGCUUGAUGGAGAAGUCUACCUAGUGAGGAACUGAGGUCUCCUGCCAACAACCAGCAAGGAAUUGAGGCCUUCUGCCAACAGCUAUCUGUCUAACAGUGGAAUGAAUGGUGCCACCUGGAGCAGAAGCAGAGAGUUCCCUGUGUUCAACUAGGAGGACCCCCGCCUCUCAGGGAUACUGUAAAGGGAUGGGAAGCAAGAGCAGUGACAGUGGCCGCAAUGUGGGGUCGGGGAGGGUGAUGAGGAGAGAGUUUGAAGAUGAGCAGGAGGAAGAUGAUUCUACAAAAAAGAAAAUUUUGCCAUUGUCCUGUUUUGGGUCUGCUUCACACCUUUCCAUGGAAAAACCUGUUUAACCUGCUCAAAAAAAAAAAAAAAAAAAAAACAUUUGGAGCAAUUGGAAGUUAUGAGUAAGGGUUGUGUUGCUUUUCUGCUCGACCUCCACUCCUGCAGCACUGAACAAUUCAAUCUCUCUUUCCCCAGCUUACCUGUGGCAUGUGGGGCCUGCUCGGCUUGAAUAAAUGGCUGUUUAUGGAUGAUAACAUCUGGAACCUAGCUCAAAACCACUUCUCUGCCAGAAGUGCUCUCCAGGAAUUCUGGCCCGUGAAUAUCCUUCUUACUCAGUUAUUUUACGAUGUGAACAACUCCAUCUUGAAAUAAAUUGAACUGGGGAAAACUGGAAGUCUGGACUCUAGAGAGGUGUCUCCAGAGAGACAUGAAGAAUGACGGAGACACAGAGACCUCAGAAAAAAUUAGACAAUAUGGACACUAUGCUUCCUCAACGGGAAUUUUCUAAGGACUUAAAAACCAGUCCUUUGUCACUUCAAGUCAAGCUAUUGAUAUAGCUUUGGGCUUGUGGAUGUGUUAUUCAUGUUCUUGCUCAUCCCAUGGAAGUUGUGAAAUAAGGAAUAAACAUCAAUUCACAAGAAGAAUAAUGGCUGAUGAUCUGGUGGAUGAGCAGCUGAGCAACUGUGAUGCGCGCCAAAAGAGUCAAAAGUCAACUCUUCUUAAAGCACCACCAUCCACAUUAAUAUGACAGACCAGAAUAACUCUGAGGGAGCCAUUAUGAUCCAUUACGAAAAUAACAUUCAUUUGCAAAAUGAGGAACAUACCAAAAUGCAAGUGGUUCCAGUUCUUUCAGCUAAAUUACACAUUAAGCAAGCAGACUUCCUCUUCCAACAUUUUGAAACGGUUUAAUAUGCACUCGGGCUGGCCAGGGCCUAGAUUUUCUAAGACCGCCCCAAAGGUGAAGCCUCGAAAAAUGAGGACUGAUUGAUUGCCAGAGAGUCAGUCAGCCCCGCUGGUGUGUUGGUCAGGUGAAGCAUGACUGUGCUUUGAAAUUUCUCCUAGGGGACAGGAAUGAUACCACGUAGGAGCUGUGAAUCCCAGCUGGCUUCAUCCAAGAGCUUAUUGGCUGCUCCCCUCCAGUGGUUUGUUGGUUAGAACUCGGGGAUGAAGUGUAGUGGACGUUUGUUGUCUUUGCCUUUCGAGCAUUCAUUCAUACCUUCUUCUCAUAACAGUUCCUUGAAUUUCCUUUGGGAGGCUUCCCUUCCCUAUUCUUGGCCCAUGUAAUAAAAGCUAAGAAUGACAGCUAACGUGCAUUAAACUCUCAUCAUGUGCCAGGCACUGGUCGAACCAUCUUACAUUAACUCAUUUAAUCCUUAUACUAAC